AGGCACCAUGGAGUAAGGCAGGCAGAAGCGUUAGGGAGGAGGAUGACCACCUCUUUUGGGGAAGAAGAUUUAAAACCUGGUCUAUCAUCCAUUAUGUUUCACAGAUUUCCCUAAAGGAGGAAAGAACAGGACUGUAGAUUUAGAACCCAGGAAAGUACUUUCAUAAUGCCAAGGAUCUGAACUCUUCAUUUGAAAAACAAGCAUGCCCACUCAACAGCCAUAGGCAGCAUCUGUCAGUCACAAUCUAGGCUAAUUUGCAAAAUGAGCCUUGAAAGGAAGGUCUUGGUCUUGCUAGAAUCCCAUGAAGCGGUCGAUGAAGCAGGAUCUAAAAACGCUUUGAAGGCUGCAUAGGACAUUGCAAGAUGAGACACAUCACCACACGGACCAAUCCC
Molecule: long non-coding RNA, 392 nt
Filed under: Gorilla gorilla gorilla (western lowland gorilla)
Lineage: Eukaryota; Metazoa; Chordata; Mammalia; Primates; Hominidae
Description: lncRNA (ENSGGOG00000044507.1)
Source: RNAcentral